CACAAAAAGUCACUACAUAUGUCCCAAAGAAGGCCAAGUCAGAGGGCUGAGGGAGUUAAAGACAGAGAGACUGCGGGAUCAGCACCCUCCCUUUCUCAGGCCACGUGAUGAGCCACAUUAAGCCGGUGUGUCUGAGUGUCAUAAGGAGCCUGAAAAGGACUUUGUGUGCCCAAUUUAUUGACCUUCACAAAGGAUUAUAUUGAAACCAUCUCAGACAGUCACUUUCAAAUACUUGAACGAAACUCUCAAAUAUAGUUAGGGAUGGAUUCAUAAAGAGGUGGAACCUGAAGAGGAGCCAUAGCAUUUGAAUUGAUGGAAAUGAAAGAAACAGACAUUACAGACUACUCUCAUUCUCGGCCCACGGAGGAAAUCAGAAGAUAAUCUAAAAUUAAAUGAUGAUGGCUCAAAGCUUAAAGCACUUAAAAAGAGAGAGAGGGAAAAAAACCGCAUCACAUCUUGAAAGGGCUGGGAAUGAGGACUGGAAGAUUGCCAAGGAAGCCCAGAAGUGCUGUUGACAAGUGGGCCUUUGGUACGUUGUGUGACCAGAGAGGACCUGUAAGACAUUCUCCUUCCUCAUGCUCUGUGAUGGUGUUUGAGGUUAUGAAAACCUAGGAGAGAGUUGAGAAAGAAUGGAAAGCAGGUAUACACAGAGCACUAGUGAGUUAGGAAAACCAAGUUGAACACUUGAUUUACUAGUUACCAUGUUGUAAUAUAAACCUACUCAGCAUUUCUUUCUGUACCUAAAAUGACAUCCUCAUAGAAUAUGAAAAUUAAAAUCAAAUUAUAUAUAUGCACACACGUAUAUC
Zalophus californianus (California sea lion) is the source of this 806-nucleotide long non-coding RNA. RefSeq lists it as uncharacterized. NCBI's taxonomy places the organism in Eukaryota, Metazoa, Chordata, Mammalia, Carnivora, Otariidae. The record is from RefSeq and is a predicted model, not a curated record. The transcript is spliced from 3 exons.